GACGAACCGUCCAAACGUUAUUCGGAAUCACUGGGCUUACAGAGUUCGUAGGCGGUCUGGAAAGUUGGGUGUGAAAUCCCUCGGCCUAACCGAGGAACUGCGCUUGAAACUACCAGACUCGAGGGAGAUAGAGGAAAGCGGAACUGAUGGUGGAGCGGUGAAAUGCGUUGAUAUCAUCAGGAACACCGGUGGCGAAGGCGGCCCUCUGGGACGGUACUGACGCUGAGACGCGAAAGCGUGGGGAGCGAACAGG
This 253-nucleotide ribosomal RNA is filed under the name uncultured bacterium. RNAcentral's name for it is "partial 16S ribosomal RNA". It matches the Rfam family "Bacterial small subunit ribosomal RNA", at positions 524 to 776 of the family's 1533-position model. The record is from RNAcentral.